CCAAAUUGACAAACAUGAUUUCUGAUCUUGUCAAAUCAGUGUCAAACAGAGUAGCCGAAGAAGUACUGUAGAGGUUUCGUUUGGGUAGAUGCUAGAUGAUAUGCGCGGUACGGAUAACUACAGAAUUCAGCUGUAUACGUUAUUAGUGCUUGAUGAUUUAAGAUAAAACUGUGGAAAUUGUAACUUCACUGAGGAAUUUGGGUGAUGGGAGACACUCCAUCCAUACUGAAUAAGCAGAGAAAGUAAAGGGGCAUUACUCGGCAUGACUCAGCAGGCCCUCUGUCAUCAGGGAUUUUGCCAUAAGUGGCAGUCAGCAUCUAACAGUGAAGUGUUGACUGUGUGUGCUGAUUCUGAUCAUACAGAGUGUAAGAAUUAACUUGAUUUGUCCUCAAUUCAAAUCAUGGUCGAUAGUACUACUAGGGAAAUGUGCCACAUAAAAAUGAGUACGUCUUAUGGCAGUGUGAAAAUCUGACAGUUGUUAAUAAAGAAAAUAAAUAUUUGUUUAUUUUUCUUCCUACUUUUAUCAUAACAAGCUUUCCCUGAUAUAUUUGAAAUAUUCAGUUCAUUAUUUCAGUAUCAAAUGGACUAAGUGACUUUGCUUCUGUUCAUAAUUAAAGUAUAAGUAUAUCCUGAAGUUGGUAUAAAAGUGAAUUUGUAAACACUAUAGAAGUGAGCUGCUAAAUUUGUUAUCUGUGGGUUUUAUCAACAGGUGAGUAGUACGGAGAUGCUUCGUGAAGUCGAGUGUGAAUCCUUGGAGGGAUGACAAUAUCCUUUUCAUGGAACACUGUUGAGAAAAUUUAGAGAACCAGCGUUUGAAGCUGACUGCAAACUACUCUUCUGCUGCAAAUGAUAAAUGAUACAUGUUGUGUAAAGAUCACAAAGAUUUAACUAGUUCGUAGGGAAUCUGAGCAUGAGGUACAGACAUUUGUAACACUAUUCACAGACUGAAAGUACUACCAAAGGAUGCCGAUUUCAUUACGAGGGAUUGUCCUGUAUCACUUGCUUCCUGCAAUGAAAUACCCAAAAAUCUGCUUGAAGGGAACAAUAAGAAGUAUUAGAAGGGAAAACUAAAUACUGGAAGAACAGAAUAGAUAAAAAUUAUUGUAUCUAAUGUUUUUAGUGUAAAAAUGCUGAGGAGAGCUAGAAGAUCUACAAAUCAUCAGUAAAUGGUUGGUGUGAUAAUCCAGCAGUGGUGUGAAAUAGAUCCUCAGUGUGUGUUUCCUGUGAAAGAUAGCGCAAACUUUUUGUGUUUAAGACUUACACUAAGAAAAAAUGACAACUAGUAAAUCUCACUGCUGUCCAAGCCACCCCGACAACUUUUGUUCUGUGUGUGGGAAAUUCGCUCAAACAGCCCAAAGAAAACCAAUCACUGAUUUGGUUUAGAUGGCAUAUAAAUUAUGAUUGUCCUGUUGGUGAUAAAGACAAAAAUUUUGCACCUCAUAUUGCCUGCAUAACCUAUACAACAACCUUAACAAAAUGAUUAAAAGGGAAACGCCGAGCCAUACCAUUCGCUGUUCCAAUGGUGUGGUGUGAGCCUAAAGUCCAUUAUUCAGACUGUUACUUCUGUAUUACAAAUAUUUUUGGACAUUCAAGCAAAACUAGAUAUAAAAUAAAGUAUCCAAAUGUAU
RNAcentral lists this long non-coding RNA (1628 nucleotides) under Schistocerca americana (American grasshopper). Its description in RNAcentral is "uncharacterized LOC124619598, transcript variant X4". The record is from RNAcentral. Lineage: Eukaryota; Metazoa; Arthropoda; Insecta; Orthoptera; Acrididae.